RNAcentral lists this ribosomal RNA (800 nucleotides) under Septoria sp. Its description in RNAcentral is "LSU rRNA". It matches the Rfam family "Eukaryotic large subunit ribosomal RNA", at positions 76 to 883 of the family's 3401-position model. The record is from RNAcentral. Lineage: Eukaryota; Fungi; Ascomycota; Dothideomycetes; Mycosphaerellales; Mycosphaerellaceae.
UGCCCUAGUAACGGCGAGUGAAGCGGCAACAGCUCAAAUUUGAAAUCUGGCGCAAGCCCGAGUUGUAAUUUGUAGAGGAUGCUUCUGGGUAGCGACCGAUCUAAGUUCCUUGGAACAGGACGUCAUAGAGGGUGAGAAUCCCGUAUGUGACCGGCCCGCACCCUUUACGUAGCUCCUUCGACGAGUCGAGUUGUUUGGGAAUGCAGCUCUAAAUGGGAGGUAAAUUUCUUCUAAAGCUAAAUACCGGCCAGAGACCGAUAGCGCACAAGUAGAGUGAUCGAAAGAUGAAAAGUACUUUGGAAAGAGAGUUAAAAAGCACGUGAAAUUGUUGAAAGGGAAGCGCCUGCAACCAGACUUCGCGGCAGUGUUCCGCCGGUCUUCUGACCGGUUCAUUCUCUGUCGCGAGGCCAUCAUCGUCUGGGCCCGCCGGAUAAGACCUUAGGAAUGUAGCUCACCUUCGGGGGAGUGUUAUAGCCUAGGGUGAUGCGGCGAGGCUCGGGCGAGGUCCGCGCUUCGGCAAGGAUGAUGGUGUAAUGCUUUGUCGGCGGCCCGUCUUGAAACACGGACCAGGGAGUCUAACAUCUAUUCGAGUGUACGGGGUGUCAAACCCCCUACACGUAAUGAAAGUGAAACGGAGGUGGGGAACCGAAGGGGUGCACCAUUCGAACGAAUCUGAUGUUCCUCGGAUGGGAUUUGAAGCAAAAGCAUAGCUUUUGGGGACCGGAAAGAAGGUGGAACUUAUGCCCUAAAUAGGGGUGCAAACCCGAGGAAAAAUCCUUGGGGCAAGGCCUCCGCAAACG